Molecule: long non-coding RNA, 2578 nt
Organism: Homo sapiens (human)
Lineage: Eukaryota; Metazoa; Chordata; Mammalia; Primates; Hominidae
Gene: EFCAB10-AS1
Product: EFCAB10 antisense RNA 1
Source: Ensembl
GUAGACAGAAAAGUAAAAUGAACCCAUCGCCAACUUCAACUGUUAAAAUUUGUGGCCAAUUUCACUACAGCCCUAUCCACAUCAAUUUGUGAGGAACAAAGUUAAUCUUGUUUGUGCCCUAAUUGAAGAGGACUGACAAUUAACAGCAUAAACAAUAGCCCAAACCAUCUCAGUUGGUUCAUUUUAUGCAAUUCUGACUGAAAAGGUUAAGCAAACUUUCCACUCAAUCAGUGCCAAAACCAUUGCACCAGAUCAGCUGCAGACAAAAAAGCACAGCUUUCAAUGGAAAAUUUUAAACGUGGGAUCAAGAUCCUGAAGCAAUUCUUCAAAGAACUGUUAACAGGAGAUGAAACGUAGUUCUACAGUAUCAUCCCAAAGACAAACCCAAUCAAAGCAAUGGCUACCAAGAGGUGACAUGGUCCAGUCAAAGCACAAGUUGACCGGUCAAGAGCAAAGGUCAUGGCAACACUUUUUUGGGAUGCUCAAGGCAUUUUGCUUUUUGAAUUUUUGGAGUCCCAAAGAAUGAUAGCAUCUGCUUAUUAUGAGAAUGUUUUAAGAAAGUUAGCCAAAGCUUUAGUUAAAAAAAGCCCAGGAAAAUUUCACCAGAAAGUCCUUCUCUACCACCACAAUGCUCCUGCUCAUUCCUCUCAUGGAACAGGGCAAUUUUACAAGAGUUUCAAUGGGAAAUCAUUAGCAUCCACCUUACAGUCCUGAUUUAGCUCCUUUUGACUUUUUUGUUUCCUGAUCUUAAAAAAAAUCUUUAAAGGGCACCCAUUUUUCUUUAAUGAUAUAAAAAAGACUGCAUUGACAUGGUUAAAUUCCCAGAGCCCUCAGAGUUCUUUAGGGAUGGAUUAAAUGGCUGGUAUCGUUGUUUACAAAAGUAUCUUGAAUUUGAUAGAGCUUAUGUUGAGAAAUAAUUUUUAAUCUUUUAAUUCCAUUUUUCCAUGAACUUUUUGAAGUCCCCGUAUACAUACUUUUUCAUGGUGAGAACACUUAUAAUCUACUGUCAGCAAUUUUCAAAUAUAAAAUAUAUUAUUAACUGUAGUCACCAUGAUAUACAGUAGAUCUCUUGAACUUAUUCCUCUUUUGUCUGAAAUUUUGUAUGCUUUGGCCAACAUCUCCCCAAUCCCCCUGCCUUUCAGCUCUUGAGCAUCAUUUAACUCUUUUUAUGAGUUUGACUUUUUCAGAUUCCACAUAUAAUUAAGAUCAUGAGGUAUUCUUCUGUGCGUGAUUUACUUCACUUAAUGUUUUCUAGGUUCAUCCAUGUUGUUGCAAAUGACAGGAUGUCCGUCUUUUAAGACUGAAUAGUAUUUCAUUGUGUAUAUAUCACAUUUUCUUUAUCCAUUCAUCCAUGGACACUUAGGCUGAUUGUGUAUAGUGGCUAUUGUGAAUAGUGCUGCGAUGAAUACAAGUGCAGGUAUUUCUUCAACAUACUGAUUUCAUUUCCUGUGGAUAUAUACCCAGUGGUGGGAAUGCCAGAUAAGUUCUAUAUUUAAGUUUUUGAGAAACCACCAUAUUGUUUUCCAUAAUGGUUGUACUAAUUCACAAUCCCACCGGUAGUGUACAAGGGUUCCCUUUUCUCCACAUCCUUGCCAACACUUGAAAUCUUUCAUCUUUUGUUAGCGUUUUAGAGAUGGGGUCUCAUUAUGUUGCUCAGGCUGGUCUUGAACUCCUGGACCCAAGUGAUCCUCCUGCCUCGGCCUUCUGAGUAGCUGGGACUACAGGCAUGUGCCAUCGUGCUCAGCUCUCUUUUGUUUUUUGAUAACAGCCUUUCUAACAGGUGUGAGGUGAUAUCUCAUUGUGGUUCUAAUUUGCAUUCACCCGAUUAGUGAUAUUGAGCAUUUUUUCAUAUACCUGUAGGCCAUUUCUGUAUCUUCUAUGGAAAAAUGUCUAUCUAUGUCCUUUGCCCAUUAAAAAAAAAAUUUUUUUUUUUUUUUAACUAUUGAGGUCUGACAUGUUUUGGAUAUUAACCCCUUAUCAGACAUAUAGUUUGCAAAUAUAUUCUCCCAUUGCAUAGGUUGUCUCUUCACUCAGUUUAUGUUUUUAAAUCUUUUAAUUUAUAGGUUUCCACUGCAUCUUUUUCAUCCCUGGGAAUUUAUGUGUUGAAACCAGAAGUAGACUUUUAAAUCUAAUAUUGUGCCUUACUUGUACAAAUAGGCUCUAGCAAUAAAUAGGCUACUAAAGGCAGUCACAUUUUGUAUGAGGUCUUCUGUUUCUUCUUCCUGGACCAUAUAUCAAAUUCAGAAACUGGAAAAAGGCCAAGUUUGAAUUUCAACUCACUACAUUUCAUUUUAAGGCUUGAAUAAGUAAAUAAUGCUAAUGGAACUUGGUGUACCACUUUGAUGAAAAUCCAAACCAGGCUUAUUGUGUAUCCUUUAGGCUGCAUGGGAUGUUACAAUGUUUAUGUUUGGAGACUACAAUUUAUACUCUACCUGCUUUUAAAAAUGUUUUGAAAAUGAUCACAACAUAAAUAUAUAUAAUAAAGACAGAAUCUUUUUAAAUCAUGAAAGGAAGAGCCAAAUGUUACUAACCACCUAUGUUACAAUGUCAGCUGAUAUUAAAAACAAUUUUUCAAGGG